Molecule: long non-coding RNA, 571 nt
Organism: Toxorhynchites rutilus septentrionalis
Lineage: Eukaryota; Metazoa; Arthropoda; Insecta; Diptera; Culicidae
Exons: 3
Source: RefSeq, a predicted model, not a curated record
CCUAAUUACCGAAUUGUUGAUUCAGUUGCACGGCACUAUUUUCCGAUAUUGAUUUCUUCACAGAAGAAGGUCGUAUUAACUCAGAUUCGGGACAGCAAUGAUUUGUGCUCGUCUUCUGCGGGAGAAUGCGAAGACAUUACUUCAAUAAUAAGGAAUCUGGGUACUUCGAUACACAAAAACGAGCCCUGUCGAGUCCUAGUUCUACCUUUAUGCUGUUGGAUUUAAUCAAGAACAACUUCAUAAACGUUUUGCAGACGAUUGUGAUCGGUGGUUCGAUCAAUUGGAUGUUUCCCGGAUUCGUCACGACGCAGGUUCCGUAUCCACUGACGCUGUGCGUCAUGUCAAUGUUGCAACGGGGCAUAGAGCUGGCCUCACUCAAUGCCGCCUGGGUUUCGCCAGCUUCGUGAUAUCUCCCGAAUGUGUUUGGCUUAGAAGUAAUUACACGCUGGUCCUGGGAGAUUAUAAUGCCAUGGAUCAGACCCAAUCGAUGCAGGAUUAGAUGUCGAUAGUUUAGAUAGUUCAAUAAAUAAUUUAAAUAGUUUAAACAGUUCAAUAAAUGAAUAAAGAUGCA